RNAcentral lists this ribosomal RNA (1113 nucleotides) under uncultured Sebacinaceae. Its description in RNAcentral is "eukaryotic LSU rRNA". The stretch from base 535 to 1113 matches the Rfam family "Eukaryotic large subunit ribosomal RNA", at positions 1 to 582 of the family's 3401-position model. The record is from RNAcentral. RNAcentral also lists the same sequence under 1 other name. Lineage: Eukaryota; Fungi; Basidiomycota; Agaricomycetes; Sebacinales; Sebacinaceae.
AGGAUCAUUAUUGAUUUUGAUUUGUUACCUUCUGUGCUGGCUCCGGCAUGUGCACGUUGGUGACUUUCAUGCAAUCCCCUUUUGUGAACCUUUGGCCUCAUGCUGGCUUUGGCCGGCAGAGGAUUUUACACAAACUUGAAUGUAACAGAAAAAACUUGUUGUGCGCAAGCACUAAUGUACAACUUUCAACAACGGAUCUCUUGGCUCUCGCAUCGAUGAAGAACGCAGCGAAAUGCGAUAAGUAAUGUGAAUUGCAGAAUUCAGUGAAUCAUCGAAUCUUUGAACGCACCUUGCACCCAUUGGUACUCCAAAGGGUAUGCUCGUUUGAGUGUCAUUGUACUCUCACACUCCAAUCUUGGAGAAGUGGACUUGGGUGUUGCCGCUUUGCUGUGGCUCAUCUUAAAUAUGCUAGUGCAACUCAUGGUUGGAUAUAGUACAGCGUGAUAAGUAUCUUCGCUGGCGCCUCAUGAAGAGGGUGUCUGAUCGGGAGCUCUGUGCUUCAAACUGUCCUGUCUGGGACAAUCUCUGACAACUUGGCCUCAAAUCGAGUAGGACUACCCGCUGAACUUAAGCAUAUCAAUAAGCGGAGGAAAAGAAACUAACAAGGAUUCCCCUAGUAACGGCGAGUGAAGAGGGAAGAGCUCAAAUUUUGAAUCUGGCACCUUUGGUGUCUGAGUUGUAAUCUAGAGAAGCGCUGUCUGUGGCGGACCGUGCACAAGUCUCCUGGAAUGGAGCAUCAUAGAGGGUGAGAAUCCCGUAUAUGGCAUGGACUCCCGUUGCUCUGUGACACACUCUCAACGAGUCGAGUUGUUUGGGAAUGCAGCUCCAAAUGGGUGGUAAAUGCCAUCUAAAGCUAAAUAUUGGCGAGAGACCGAUAGCGAACAAGUACCGUGAGGGAAAGAUGAAAAGCACUUUGGAAAGAGAGUGAAACAGUACGUGAAAUUGUUGAAAGGGAAACACUUGAAGUCAGUCAUGCCCUUUGGGAUUCGGCCUUGCUUCUGCUUGGUUUACUUCCUGUUGGGUGGGUCAACAUCAGUUUCAGUCAGAGGAGAAAGGCUUGGGGAAGGUGGCAGCAUUACGCUGUGUUAUAGCCCCUUGUUGUAUACUUUGACC